Molecule: ribosomal RNA, 465 nt
Filed under: Burkholderia multivorans
Lineage: Bacteria; Pseudomonadati; Pseudomonadota; Betaproteobacteria; Burkholderiales; Burkholderiaceae
Description: bacterial SSU rRNA
Rfam family: Bacterial small subunit ribosomal RNA
Source: RNAcentral
UGGCUCAGAUUGAACGCUGGCGGCAUGCCUUACACAUGCAAGUCGAACGGCAGCACGGGUGCUUGCACCUGGUGGCGAGUGGCGAACGGGUGAGUAAUACAUCGGAACAUGUCCUGUAGUGGGGGAUAGCCCGGCGAAAGCCGGAUUAAUACCGCAUACGAUCCACGGAUGAAAGCGGGGGACCUUCGGGCCUCGCGCUAUAGGGUUGGCCGAUGGCUGAUUAGCUAGUUGGUGGGGUAAAGGCCUACCAAGGCGACGAUCAGUAGCUGGUCUGAGAGGACGACCAGCCACACUGGGACUGAGACACGGCCCAGACUCCUACGGGAGGCAGCAGUGGGGAAUUUUGGACAAUGGGCGAAAGCCUGAUCCAGCAAUGCCGCGUGUGUGAAGAAGGCCUUCGGGUUGUAAAGCACUUUUGUCCGGAAAGAAAUCCCUGGCUCUAAUACAGUCGGGGGAUGACGGUAC